This 73-nucleotide transfer RNA is filed under the name Candidatus Harrisonbacteria bacterium RIFCSPHIGHO2_02_FULL_42_16. Its description in RNAcentral is "tRNA-Glu". It matches the Rfam family "tRNA". Rfam says of the family: Transfer RNA (tRNA) molecules are approximately 80 nucleotides in length. Their secondary structure includes four short double-helical elements and three loops (D, anti-codon, and T loops). Further hydrogen bonds mediate the characteristic L-shaped molecular structure. tRNAs have two regions of fundamental functional importance: the anti-codon, which is responsible for specific mRNA codon recognition, and the 3' end, to which the tRNAs corresponding amino acid is attached (by aminoacyl-tRNA synthetases). tRNAs cope with the degeneracy of the genetic code in two manners: having more than one tRNA (with a specific anti-codon) for a particular amino acid; and 'wobble' base-pairing, i.e. permitting non-standard base-pairing at the 3rd anti-codon position. The record is from RNAcentral. Lineage: Bacteria; Candidatus Harrisoniibacteriota. RNAcentral also lists the same sequence under 1 other name.
GGCCUUAUCGUCUAGUGGCCUAGGACAUCGCCUUCUCAAGGCGGGAACAUGGGUUCGAUUCCCAUUAAGGCUA